This 253-nucleotide ribosomal RNA is filed under the name uncultured bacterium. RNAcentral describes it as "partial 16S ribosomal RNA". It matches the Rfam family "Bacterial small subunit ribosomal RNA", at positions 524 to 776 of the family's 1533-position model. The record is from RNAcentral.
UACGGAGGGGGCUAGCGUUAUUCGGAAUUACUGGGCGUAAAGCGCACGUAGGCGGAUCUGCAAGUCAGAGGUGAAAUCCCAGGGCUCAACCUUGGAACUGCCUUUGAAACUGCGGGUCUUGAGUUCGAGAGAGGUGAGUGGAAUUCCGAGUGUAGAGGUGAAAUUCGUAGAUAUGCGGAGGAACACCGAUGGCGAAGGCAAUCCCCUGGACCUGUACUGACGCUCAUGCACGAAAGCGUGGGGAGCAAACAGG